AGCUUUGCGCAGUGGCAGUAUCGUAGCCAAUGAGGUUUAUCCGAGGCGCGAUUAUUGCUAAUUAAAAAUCUCAUAGGAAUUUGUUUGCUCUUGCUUUUUUGAGUACCCAUGUAAUGUAAGAGCUUCAAUUUUGCCUCUUGCCUGCAA
This is a small nuclear RNA of Lutra lutra (Eurasian river otter), 147 nucleotides long. RefSeq annotates it as U4 spliceosomal RNA. The record is from RefSeq and is a predicted model, not a curated record. The transcript has a single exon. Lineage: Eukaryota; Metazoa; Chordata; Mammalia; Carnivora; Mustelidae.